RNAcentral lists this ribosomal RNA (1139 nucleotides) under Salmonella enterica. RNAcentral's name for it is "partial 23S ribosomal RNA". It matches the Rfam family "Bacterial large subunit ribosomal RNA", at positions 711 to 1763 of the family's 2925-position model. Lineage: Bacteria; Pseudomonadati; Pseudomonadota; Gammaproteobacteria; Enterobacterales; Enterobacteriaceae. The record is from RNAcentral. RNAcentral also lists the same sequence under 1 other name.
AGACCCGAAACCCGGUGAUCUAGCCAUGGGCAGGUUGAAGGUUGGGUAACACUAACUGGAGGACCGAACCGACUAAUGUUGAAAAAUUAGCGGAUGACCUGUGGCUGGGGGUGAAAGGCCAAUCAAACCGGGAGAUAGCUGGUUCUCCCCGAAAGCUAUUUAGGUAGCGCCUCGUGAAUUCAUCUCCGGGGGUAGAGCACUGUUUCGGCUAGGGGGCCAUCCCGGCUUACCAACCCGAUGCAAACUGCGAAUACCGGAGAAUGUUAUCACGGGAGACACACGGCGGGUGCUAACGUCCGUCGUGAAGAGGGAAACAACCCAGACCGCCAGCUAAGGUCCCAAAGUCAUGGUUAAGUGGGAAACGAUGUGGGAAGGCCCAGACAGCCAGGAUGUUGGCUUAGAAGCAGCCAUCAUUUAAAGAAAGCGUAAUAGCUCACUGGUCGAGUCGGCCUGCGCGGAAGAUGUAACGGGGCUAAACCAUGCACCGAAGCUGCGGCAGCGAACGUAUCACCCAAGACAACUUUACGGAGUUGACGAUUGACGGAGCGAAGCGACGUCAAAGCGUUCAUUAAAGUCGAGUUGGCUUAGGGAUACGUUCGUUGGGUAGGGGAGCGUUCUGUAAGCCUGUGAAGGUGUGUCGUGAGGCAUGCUGGAGGUAUCAGAAGUGCGAAUGCUGACAUAAGUAACGAUAAAGCGGGUGAAAAGCCCGCUCGCCGGAAGACCAAGGGUUCCUGUCCAACGUUAAUCGGGGCAGGGUGAGUCGACCCCUAAGGCGAGGCCGAAAGGCGUAGUCGAUGGGAAACGGGUUAAUAUUCCCGUACUUGGUGUUACUGCGAAGGGGGGACGGAGAAGGCUAUGUUGGCCGGGCGACGGUUGUCCCGGUUUAAGCGUGUAGGUGUGUGUUCCAGGUAAAUCCGGUUCACUUUAACACUGAGGCGUGACGACGAGGCACUACGGUGCUGAAGCAACAAAUGCCCUGCUUCCAGGAAAAGCCUCUAAGCAUCAGGUAACACGAAAUCGUACCCCAAACCGACACAGGUGGUCAGGUAGAGAAUACCAAGGCGCUUGAGAGAACUCGGGUGAAGGAACUAGGCAAAAUGGUGCCGUAACUUCGGGAGAAGGCACGCUGACACGUAGGU